GGAUAAGUCUUUACGGAGAAAGCUUUAUGCACCAUUGGAUGAGCCUGCACUUGAUUAGUUUGUUGGUAGGGUAAUGGCCUACCAAGACUGUGAUCAAUAGCUGAUUUGAGAGGAUGAUCAGCCACAUUGGGACUGAGACACGGCCCAAACUCCUACGGGAGGCAGCAGUGGGGAAUCUUGCACAAUGGAGGAAACUCUGAUGCAGCGAUGCCGCGUGAGUGAAGAAGGCCCUUGGGUUGUAAAGCUCUUUCGUCGGGGAAGAAAAUGACUGUACCCGAAUAAGAAGGUCCGGCUAACUUCGUGCCAGCAGCCGCGGUAAUACGAAGGGACCUAGCGUAGUUCGGAAUUACUGGGCUUAAAGAGUUCGUAGGUGGUUGAAAAAGUUGGUGGUGAAAUCCCAGAGCUUAACUCUGGAACUGCCAUCAAAACUUUUCAGCUAGAGUUUGAUAGAGGAAAGCAGAAUUUCUAGUGUAGAGGUGAAAUUCGUAGAUAUUAGAAAGAAUACCAAUUGCGAAGGCAGCUUUCUGGAUCAUUACUGACACUGAGGAACGAAAGCAUGGGUAGCGAAGAGGAUUAGAUACCCUCGUAGUCCAUGCCGUAAACGAUGUGUGUUAGACGUUGGAAAUUUAUUUUCAGUGUCGCAGCGAAAGCGAUAAACACACCGCCUGGGGAGUACG
This 677-nucleotide ribosomal RNA is filed under the name Candidatus Pelagibacter sp. AAA795-N08. Its description in RNAcentral is "bacterial SSU rRNA". It matches the Rfam family "Bacterial small subunit ribosomal RNA", at positions 185 to 884 of the family's 1533-position model. Lineage: Bacteria; Pseudomonadati; Pseudomonadota; Alphaproteobacteria; Candidatus Pelagibacterales; Candidatus Pelagibacteraceae. The record is from RNAcentral.